UUCCUUUUGUGGGUUUUGUUCAUAGUUUUGCAGGUUUUUUAUAUGUUGCGUUUUCCUAUGCUUAUUUGGUUUCUGGGAAAAUUAAAAAUAAGAAGGCAAAUUACUUUUUGAUCUUUAAUUUCGCCGUUUUCAAAAUUGUGUACAUCUUGCCUUAGCUAGUUUGAAUUACUUUUCCGCCCAGCGUCAUGUCCUUUCUUUGGUUGUAGAGAAGAACUGGGUAGAAAGGGAAGAAAAAUGAAAAUCAUUAAAAGUUUUAGGAGGGAGAAGUUUUGGGUUUCUGGAGUCUUUGCGUGUUCUUUGUUGUUUCCUGUCCUUGAUCAACAUCCAAAGGGAUCAGUAGUCUUCUUUUUAGCAACUUUUCAUAGGUUUAUCUAGGACUUGUGUCUUUUAUCUGUGAUUUUGUUUAUGCCUGUUUGUGAUUAUGUUCGUCUCUGUUGAUUUAUUCGGUUUCUGAGAACUUGCUUUCACCUUUAUCUACUGUGGGUUUGGUUGGAAAUUGGCCGUUUUCUGGCUCCUUGUUAAGAAUUUCAUAGAAAAAUCCUUUCGGUUCUGCCUGUUAUUCUUGUCUAUUAGAGACUUUUUCAUGGGUUUUAACAUAUGAAUUCUUAGUUAUUGAUCUCUUUGAUGUUAUUUGUUUGCAUUUUGCACGUGUUACUUAAAGUCUUGUGCAAAUUCAUGUGGAUUGAUAUGGUUUAUGAAGUCCUGUAAGUAGGUUGAACUAGGAACUUGACAGAAAAACCUUUUGUGGCCGUGCUGGAGCAUAGAUUUUUAUCCUAAUGGUUUUAAAAUUUUUUGAAGGUGUAUUUGUUAGGUUUUUUAAGCCUUAACAGUUCUUGUGAGGUUUCAAAUUCAAUAACUUCAGCUAGUUGCAUAUGGACUUAUGGCUUUAAACAUUUGUCAGGAAACAGAAUCUCAGAAAAGGAA
This 924-nucleotide unclassified non-coding RNA is filed under the name Hevea brasiliensis (rubber tree). The record is from RNAcentral. Lineage: Eukaryota; Viridiplantae; Streptophyta; Magnoliopsida; Malpighiales; Euphorbiaceae.